UAACAUGGUCUCCGUAGGUGAACCUGCGGAGGGAUC
Molecule: ribosomal RNA, 36 nt
Filed under: Pezicula sporulosa
Lineage: Eukaryota; Fungi; Ascomycota; Leotiomycetes; Helotiales; Dermateaceae
Description: partial 18S ribosomal RNA
Source: RNAcentral